Molecule: ribosomal RNA, 465 nt
Filed under: uncultured bacterium
Lineage: Bacteria
Description: partial 16S ribosomal RNA
Rfam family: Bacterial small subunit ribosomal RNA
Source: RNAcentral
GACGAACGCUGGCGGCGUGCUUAACACAUGCAAGUCGAACGGAAAGGCCCCUUUGGGGGUACUCGAGUGGCGAACGGGUGAGUAACACGUGAGUAACCUGCCCUUGACUUCGGGAUAACUUCAGGAAACUGGGGCUAAUACCGGAUAGGAAUCCUUGCUGCAUGGUGGGGGUUGGAAAGCUUCGGCGGUUUUGGAUGGACUCGCGGGUUAUCAGCUUGUUGGUGGGGUAGUGGCUUACCAAGGCGUUGACGGGUAGCCGGCCUGCGAGGGCGACCGGCCACAUUGGGACUGAGAUACGGCCCAGACUCCUACGGGAGGCAGCAGUGGGGAAGAUUGCACAAGGGGCGGAAGCCUGAUGCAGCAACGCCGCGUGCGGGAUGACGGCCUUCGGGUUGUAAACCGCUUUCAGCAGGGGCGAAGCUUGUGGUGACGGUACCUGCAGAAGAAGCACCGGCUAACUACGUG